UUUGGUUAAGUUAGAAAGGGCGCACGGUGGAUGCCUUGACACUAGGAGUCGAUGAAGGACGGGACUAACGCCGAUAUGCUUCGGGGAGCUGUAAGUAAGCUUUGAUCCGAAGAUUUCCGAAUGGGGAAACCCACCAUACGUAAUGGUAUGGUAUCCUUAUCUGAAUACAUAGGGUAAGGAAGACAGACCCAGGGAACUGAAACAUCUAAGUACCUGGAGGAAGAGAAAGCAAAUGCGAUUUCCUGAGUAGCGGCGAGCGAAACGGAACAUAGCCCAAACCAAGAGGCUUGCCUCUUGGGGUUGUAGGACAUUCUAUACGGAGUUACAAAGGAACGAGGUAGACGAAGCGACCUGGAAAGGUCCGUCGUAGAGGGUAACAACCCCGUAGUCGAAACUUCGUUCUCUCUUGAAUGUAUCCUGAGUACGGCGGAACACGUGAAAUUCCGUCGGAAUCUGGGAGGACCAUCUCCCAAGGCUAAAUACUCCCUAGUGAUCGAUAGUGAACCAGUACCGUGAGGGAAAGGUGAAAAGCACCCCGGAAGGGGAGUGAAAGAGAUCCUGAAACCGUGUGCCUACAAAUAGUCAGAGCCCGUUAACGGGUGAUGGCGUGCCUUUUGUAGAAUGAACCGGCGAGUUACGAUCCCGUGCGAGGUUAAGCUGAAGAGGCGGAGCCGCAGCAAAAGCGAGUCUGAAUAGGGCGUUUAGUACGUGGUCGUAGACCCGAAACCAGGUGAUCUACCCAUGUCCAGGGUGAAGUUCAGGUAACACUGAAUGGAGGCCCGAACCCACGCACGUUGAAAAGUGCGGGGAUGAGGUGUGGGUAGCGGAGAAAUUCCAAUCGAACCUGGAGAUAGCUGGUUCUCCCCGAAAUAGCUUUAGGGCUAGCCUUAAGUGUAAGAGUCUUGGAGGUAGAGCACUGAUUGGACUAGGGGUCCUCAUCGGAUUACCGAAUUCAGUCAAACUCCGAAUGCCAAUGACUUAUCCUUAGGAGUCAGACUGCGAGUGAUAAGAUCCGUAGUCAAAAGGGAAACAGCCCAGACCGCCAGCUAAGGUCCCAAAGUGUGUAUUAAGUGGAAAAGGAUGUGGAGUUGCUUAGACAACUAGGAUGUUGGCUUAGAAGCAGCCACCAUUUAAAGAGUGCGUAAUAGCUCACUAGUCGAGUGACUCUGCGCCGAAAAUGUACCGGGGCUAAAUACACCACCGAAGCUGCGGAUUGAUACCAAUGGUAUCAGUGGUAGGGGAGCGUUCUAAGGACAGUGAAGUCAGACCGUAAGGACUGGUGGAGUGCUUAGAAGUGAGAAUGCCGGUAUGAGUAGCGAAAGACGGGUGAGAAUCCCGUCCACCGAAUGCCUAAGGUUUCCUGAGGAAGGCUCGUCCGCUCAGGGUUAGUCAGGACCUAAGCCGAGGCCGACAGGCGUAGGCGAUGGACAACAGGUUGAUAUUCCUGUACCACCUCUUUAUCGUUUGAGCAAUGGAGGGACGCAGAAGGAUAGAAGAAGCGUGCGAUUGGUUGUGCACGUCCAAGCAGUUAGGCUGAUAAGUAGGCAAAUCCGCUUAUCAUAAAGGCUGAGCUGUGAUGGGGAAGCUCCUUAUGGAGCGAAGUCUUUGAUUCCCCGCUGCCAAGAAAAGCUUCUAGCGAGAUAAAAGGUGCCUGUACCGCAAACCGACACAGGUAGGCGAGGAGAGAAUCCUAAGGUGUGCGAGAGAACUCUGGUUAAGGAACUCGGCAAAAUGACCCCGUAACUUCGGGAGAAGGGGUGCUUUCUUAACGGAAAGCCGCAGUGAAUAGGCCCAAGCGACUGUUUAGCAAAAACACAGCUCUCUGCGAAGCCGUAAGGCGAAGUAUAGGGGGUGACACCUGCCCGGUGCUGGAAGGUUAAGGAGAGGGGUUAGCGUAAGCGAAGCUCUGAACUGAAGCCCCAGUAAACGGCGGCCGUAACUAUAACGGUCCUAAGGUAGCGAAAUUCCUUGUCGGGUAAGUUCCGACCCGCACGAAAGGUGUAACGAUUUGGGCACUGUCUCAACCAGAGACUCGGUGAAAUUAUAGUACCUGUGAAGAUGCAGGUUACCCGCGACAGGACGGAAAGACCCCGUGGAGCUUUACUGUAGCCUGAUAUUGAAUUUUGGUACAGUUUGUACAGGAUAGGCGGGAGCCAUUGAAACCGGAGCGCUAGCUUCGGUGGAGGCGCUGGUGGGAUACCGCCCUGACUGUAUUGAAAUUCUAACCUACGGGUCUUAUCGACCCGGGAGACAGUGUCAGGUGGGCAGUUUGACUGGGGCGGUCGCCUCCUAAAGUGUAACGGAGGCGCCCAAAGGUUCCCUCAGAAUGGUUGGAAAUCAUUCGUAGAGUGCAAAGGCAUAAGGGAGCUUGACUGCGAGACCUACAAGUCGAGCAGGGACGAAAGUCGGGCUUAGUGAUCCGGUGGUUCCGCAUGGAAGGGCCAUCGCUCAACGGAUAAAAGCUACCCCGGGGAUAACAGGCUUAUCUCCCCCAAGAGUCCACAUCGACGGGGAGGUUUGGCACCUCGAUGUCGGCUCAUCGCAUCCUGGGGCUGUAGUCGGUCCCAAGGGUUGGGCUGUUCGCCCAUUAAAGCGGUACGCGAGCUGGGUUCAGAACGUCGUGAGACAGUUCGGUCCCUAUCCGUCGUGGGCGUAGGAAAUUUGAGAGGAGCUGUCCUUAGUACGAGAGGACCGGGAUGGACGCACCGCUGGUGUACCAGUUGUUCUGCCAAGGGCAUAGCUGGGUAGCUAUGUGCGGAAGGGAUAAGUGCUGAAAGCAUCUAAGCAUGAAGCCCCCCUCAAGAUGAGAUUUCCCAUAGCGUAAGCUAGUAAGAUCCCUGAAAGAUGAUCAGGUUGAUAGGUUCGAGGUGGAAGCAUGGUGACAUGUGGAGCUGACGAAUACUAAUAGAUCGAGGACUUAACCAUAUAA
RNAcentral lists this ribosomal RNA (2929 nucleotides) under Bacillus thuringiensis. RNAcentral describes it as "23S ribosomal RNA". It matches the Rfam family "Bacterial large subunit ribosomal RNA". The record is from RNAcentral. Lineage: Bacteria; Bacillati; Bacillota; Bacilli; Caryophanales; Bacillaceae.